GACGAACGCUGGCGGCGUGCUUAACACAUGCAAGUCGAAUGGAAAGGCCCUGCUUUUGUGGGGUGCUCGAGUGGCGAACGGGUGAGUAACACGUGAGUAACCUGCCCUUGACUUUGGGAUAACUUCAGGAAACUGGGGCUAAUACCGGAUAGGAGCUCCUGCUGCAUGGUGGGGGUUGGAAAGUUUCGGCGGUUGGGGAUGGACUCGCGGCUUAUCAGCUUGUUGGUGGGGUAGUGGCUUACCAAGGCUUUGACGGGUAGCCGGCCUGAGAGGGUGACCGGCCACAUUGGGACUGAGAUGCGGCCCAGACUCCUACGGGAGGCAGCAGGGGGGAAUAUUGCACAAUGGGCGGAAGCCUGAUGCAGCAACGCCGCGUGCGGGAUGACGGCCUUCGGGUUGUAAACCGCUUUCGCCUGUGACGAAGCGUGAGUGACGGUAAUGGGUAAAGAAGCACCGGCUAACUACGUGC
RNAcentral lists this ribosomal RNA (469 nucleotides) under uncultured bacterium. Its description in RNAcentral is "partial 16S ribosomal RNA". It matches the Rfam family "Bacterial small subunit ribosomal RNA", at positions 28 to 508 of the family's 1533-position model. The record is from RNAcentral.